UUGAGGACUACUGCUCCUUUUAUUACAAGAGUGACGAGACGGUUCAGAAGGACGAGGAACUCCAAUCCUGGUGGAAGGAACUCGUGGAGGAGGGACAUGGCGACAAGAAGGACGAGCCCUGGUGGCCUAAAAUGCAGACUGUGAAGGACCUAACAGAGACAUGUACGAUCACCAUCUGGAUCGCGUCUGCUCUCCAUGCGGCUGUGAACUUCGGGCAAUACCCUUACGCAGGGUACCUCCCGAACAGGCCCACCCUCAGCCGUCGCUAUAUGCCCGAGGAGGGUACUCCCGAAUUCGAAGAGCUCAGGCAAAAUCCUGACAAGGCUUUCCUGAAAACUAUAACAGCCCAGCUUCAGACACUUCUAGGAAUUUCAAUCAUAGAGAUCCUGUCGAUGCAUUCUACUGACGAGGUGUAUCUUGGGCAGAGAGACACUCGCGAGUGGACAGCGGACGCUGAGCCGUUGGAAGCGUUUGAGAGGUUUGGGAAGAAGCUGGGAGAAGUCGAGGAAACAAUUAUCAGGAUGAAUGGGGACAAGAGGUGGAGGAACCGGGUCGGGCCGGUCGAGAUUCCUUAUAUGCUGCUUUACCCGACCAGCGAAGGCGGAGUGACUGCCAAGGGAAUUCCCAACAGCGUCUCGAUCUAAACUUUCGCAUGCAUACAUGUUUCUUUUCUUGUUUGUUCGUUUUUAAUUAUUCUUUUGUUAUGGGAUGAAAGCUAUUGUAAGCGCGAAAUAUGAAUAACCACAAUACAAAUAAAGCAUAAUAAGCGUUUGUCAAGUUUUGGGAUUCAGUCUGCUAAUUUCUACUAGCUAGGCUAACUGAUUGUUCUGGAACUUUACUUUUACAAGAAUCAGACAUUAUCUACAAUUUCUAACUUUACAGACACCAAUCGACUGUUGAAGAAUUGGAAAAAUGUCAGUUGUGAAAUUCAGCAUGUAACCCCAGGUUUAACCCAUCAACUUGGCCUUUUUCUCUUCCAUUACAAGUACAUGAACUAUAAGUAAGUUUAUCUUUCUUCCUUUUUCCCGAUCUGCAUCCAUCGCAUAACUUGACCAUUUAGACUACUGGCUCGAUCUGAUGAUUUGAUUCUGCAGGCUCGACAAUUGAGCUGAUGAUCGUUAUACUUGUCUCUUUCUCCUAGAACCUUUAAAUAGUCAAAUUUGGCUACGUUUCCAUUCUUUGAAGCAGACCUUUAAGUUCCGGUACAAUAAGUCGGAUGACGUCACAAUGUCGAGAAAGCAAAGGGGAUCUAUGCAAAUGAACUAAAUUCAUGCUGGUUUCAUGAUUGGAGGUUCCCGAUUUAGGUGCGAAGGAAGGAGAAAACUGAGCGCCUCAAAGCAAGGCAAUCAAGUCGCACAAAAAAACAUGUAGAGGGCGUCUUGGUCUGGAGGCUAGAUCUAAGUGACUUCACUAGCGCGAAACUCAUAAGAGUCAUGGAAAUCACAAAUAUAUCGGAUAAAAAUUCACAGAGAUUUAUCAAACGAAACUCAUCAAAUAGGUUUGAGGGGGCUUUAAAUGAUGAAGUUUAUGUGUUUUCCACAAAUUCAAAUUGGUUGACAGGCUUUCAAUGCAAACACUAAAAGUAGGAAACUGCCCCGAUUAGACGGCUCUAUCCUUGUGGAAACGACGACGACGAUGACGAUGACGACAAUAAUGUAGCUUAUUAAAUUUGUAUUAGUAGUACGAGAAGUGCACCUAAAGCGGACGAAUACUUAGGAAAAUAAAAUAAAUGAGAAAACUAUAUAGAUGAGAUAUUAGAAUAUUUAAAUAAUAAAUUACGCUAUUAUCUAAUAGUUUAAGUUUUAAAAAUAAUUAAUAGAGAUUAAAUUUAUAUGGUAUUAGAGUUGGAGAUUUUGAGUUCGAAUUUUUUCAACCCCAUUUGUCUUCCCAAUUAUAUUUCCAUGCACUUAAAAAAAAUACUAAAUAUGAAGGGGGAAUGUUAAAAUAUAUAAAAAAUAAAUUAUAUCAUUAUCUAAUAGUUUAAGUUUUUAGAAUAAUUGAUCGUUAUCUCACAAAAAUUUACUGUAGGAGGAAUAUGUGGAAUCAAUGAUUUGACAUUCUAUCUAUUUUCCUUAAAAAUUAAGUUAAGUGUAAGAAUUUUUUCAAUCAACAUUAAAAUUCAUGAUAAGGUCGCUUGGUUGUGAUAUAAUGUCAUGCACCAUUGAAUUGUUUAAUCAGCUCUCAUCUAAAUGGAUGCAUUUGGUCAGAAAAGACAUCACCGCCUUUAAAAUAUCUCCUGUCUCGAGACGGGAGACAGAAUGAACUUUACCAAACGCGAACAUUGGUGUGAUUUGUCAAGCUUUCAAGCCUUUUUGUCAUUUCGAAUAAUGACGCGUCUCCAAUGCAUACAAUUGACGCAAGAUAACCCGAGGAUUAAGGCAACGCCACUAAGAUUCAAAGCGAGCCGCGUGCUUAUCACUCCAAUAAUUCCUUAUUUAUCGCCAAAGUCUUUGGUAGCCAUCAUCGAAUCAACGCGUGGUAAUGUGCCAUCUCCACAAUGAUUAGGUCUCUCAAUUCAACCAAAAGCAACCCAAUUUCUCUCCUCAAUUUUUUUUUUUAAAAGGAGGAGGGGGAAAAUCUUUUAAAAAGUAUUAUUUAGCCAAUGCCCAAGAUACUAAUCAUGCAAUUAAAUCGGAAAACUUAGGUUUUCAAAAUUAUAAGGUUAUGUUUGAUCGUCUGAAUCCUUAACCGUAAUAGGACUUGAUGGAAUAUGGUAUAUAAUUCAAUAAUUUUGCUAUAUUCUAUCAACUGUUUAAUGAAUCGUAGUAAUAAAAAUGGAUAUUUUCAUUUCUUAUUAUAUUUAUUGUUUGAUAUGAACAACAAACCAAUGUAAAUGAAUCUGAAAAUGCGCCAAUGGAAAUAGUAAGAAUUUCUCAUGAUUCAUUGUUAAAGAAAUCACAAAUGUACAAAUUGAGAGAACAUUUAUCAUACAAUUCAUAAUUAUUGUAUGAUCUAUAUCUUAAAUAGGGAAAGAGCUCAUUGCAGCGUUCUAAAGCCAUAUGUUUGACAAUGACAAGAAAUGUAAACGGACUAUAGCAAUAUCGACUAAGUAGAUUAGCUAGCAAAAGUCAAAUCUAGUAAAAGAGAAAACAUAAUUAUUCAUCUUCGUGAUUCGGAAAAGUAUAGUAUUUUGAUUUUCUUGCCACGUUUGUGAAAUUUCAACAUGAAUUAUAGAUAUAUAUUUAUAUAGAGUAUACACACACACACAUAUAUACAUAUAUAUUAUAGAAUAGAAAGAAAUUCAAAUAUAUAAUAAAAUUGUCCAUUAUUUUUAUUUUGAUUUUUCCUUUUUAAAUGUUAUUUCUAUUUUAAUUUUUAAUUUAGGAAGUUUGUUAUUAAAAAACAAUUUCUUUUACGCCAUAUAUAUAAGAAAUUCUAUCAAUAUUUAUCACACUUAUUCCAUAGGAUAUUUUUAUCCCGACUAAAGUCCCGUUACAGUCGAAUUUAUUUUAUCUUGAGCAAGAACUAGACAUAGGAUUGGAUAUAUUCUAUCCCAAUUGCUAGACGUAUCUUAACUUCUUUCGCUUUACAAAUCAAACACAUCCUGUUGAGCAUUCAUGAAACCACUUCCGUGGAAAAAGGAGAAAGAGGAAAAAGGAAAGAGGAAAGAAAUUUCAAGUCUCCAAUAAGGAAGGGAAGCUUCUUUGUGAUGCCUUAGCGUCGGAAUAUUCCUUAUAAGUACCACCAUCGUGACGCACACCCUUCUUCAUUCUUUUCAAUACCCAUCCUACUCUUCCUUUCGUCCCAUUAACUUCGCAAAAAGGUUCCAUACAUUCUCCGGAAUGGAUAAGCUGUUUCACGGGAUGCUGCAGGCCUUCGACUGCGGCAGCAAGGCAGGCCGCCAGCGCAAGGCGGCCGGGUCCAAGAAGGUCAUCGGAACGGUGGUGCUGAUGAAGAAGUACGUCUUGGACUUCAACGACUUCAACGCGUCGGUCCUCGACACCAUCCACGAGCUGUUGGGCGAGAAGGUCUCUCUGCGACUCGUGAGCGCCGUCCACAGUGAUCCCGGUGAGUGAUGACCCUCUUCCACACGAUAUUCUUGUCGUUCAUUUCUGGAACAAGUUCUUUCGACGGCUUUUCUUGGUACUAGACUGUGCUGUACAUUUCUGUUGACAAGAUCUGAUGAAUGGCAACAAAUUAAGCUGUUCGUCGUCGUGACAGGCGAUCUUCUUCCCCAUAAAGAAAACGCAAUAAUGACGAGUAUUUCCCAUAAUUUGCAAACGUCAAAAUGCAUCGCUCGCGUUUCGACGUCCUAUUAUAAAAAAGAAAGCAUCUUCUUACUUAGAUUUCAAGAAAGCCUAACACGUGCUUCUUCCUUACAAAGAAAAUAAUGAUAUAUCGAAGUGGAUCGCUUGCGUUUCGAAGAUCUGUUAUAAGAAAGAAAACUACUUCUUGCUUAUAUUUCAAGAAAGGCAUCUUCGCUUUACUUGCCGCAUGUUAUUGACAAGAGUAAAGUUGGGCGACUUGUGUUUUAAGCUUUUUGGUUCUGUGGCACGAUACUCUUGCGCGUUCAAUACAAUGAUUCGGAAAUUGGCCAUGCAUCCGAUUCAAUCAACCUAAUCUGUCACAUUCCCUACUGAAUUUAUCUUCUGAAGUUUGAUCUUUUAUGUGCAACUUUAGAGAACAUGUGUAAUCUUGAUGGACUUAGAAAAACAAAUAGAAAUUUUUUUACUGAAAUAUGACAGGUCAAACUUAGUUACCGCAUGUUUGUUGGUAGGAUGACUCCACUAUGCGCGCAUUUAUAGGCAUAGAUAAACAGUAUGUGCCCACAUAUUUUUCGACAAUUCUUGAUAUUUUAAUAGAUGGACCAUGGUAGAUUAAGAGUAAUCAUUAAAUCUUGCAGUUUCAUGUGACAGAAAAUUUGGGUACAUUUGGGUGUUUGCACUAUGGGUAGGAUUCUCUUCUUAUAAUAUAAACGAAAAAAUUAUGUUAAUUCCGAAAAUCUCAAGCCAAGGGGAAAAAAAAGCCAAUUGAAAAACGUAAACGUUCAAACUAAGUUAAGUAUUUUGACUUGAUUUUAAUGUUGACCAUCUGGGCACAAGUUAAUUAGUUCGUAUUUUAGCAACCGCUUCAGGCGCUUUUUCUUUUUCUCUCGACAUACAAUACAUGCAUAUAUGUAUAUGCGCGUGUAUAUAUAUGUAUUAUAUUUAUGCAACAUUUCUAAACUCAAGUAAAUAUGUGUCUCAUCUUUUUUCAUGUUUUUGAAGAAGUGGAUGAAACUAAAUCAGAAUUAUAAAUUGUUUUCCUCUAUCGAGUCCAAAUUUUAAAAUCGACAAAAGUAAAGUGUUCCUAUCUGUUUUGUACUGUUUUGAAUUUUCCACUCACGCUUUAUUUUAUUCUAUUUAAUUUUACUUUUUAAUUAAGAAAAAGCUCAAAUUAUUUUUCGGUUCUCUCUCUCCGGUCCACAUGAGGUGAUUUUCCUCAUGUCAUGUCCUAGUACCACACCACCUAAUCAACCAAUGGUGCAUGGCACUAGCAAUUCUUGUAGUUAAUUUGUGGCUAUUGGCCAACAUAAGCUGUCAUUUGUCAUUUUUAGUUGGGAAUUUAUGCGGGGUAUCGCGAAGAUGAGCUUUCUAAAUCACUUCACUGAGCACAAGCUCGGGUCGUUGCUCUUUCCUUUUGGUUUUUAGCACAAGAUCAGGUAUUGUUUGUUGAAACGGCACCAUGCUUGCGACAGCAAGAAGAUUAUAGAUAACAUAAUGUCAGUGGGAAUGAACUAAAAAUUGGAAACAAAAAGCAAAUGACCUUGCGCUGAUCAUUGAUCAGAUUCAGACCCCUUGCCAUGUUAAAGAUGAACGUCAUUCUCAUUUGCCGGGAUGAAAAGAUCGAAAUCUUUGAAAAUUUUUAUUUCUUUUUCGCGUUCUGUAGAAAACGGUUUGCAGGGGAAAUUGGGAAAGCCUGCAUAUCUUGAAAAAUGGAUCACUACCAUCACUCCCUUAACGGCAGGCGAUUCGGCGUUCAAGGUCACUUUCGAUUGGGACAAGGAGGUGGGAGUUCCGGGGGCGAUCAUCGUACAAAACAACCAUCACAGUCAGUUUUACCUCAAGACGAUCACACUCGAAGAUGUGCCCGGUGAGGGCCGAGUCCACUUUGUCUGCAACUCGUGGGUCUACCCUGCCGACCGAUACAAGAAGGACCGGGUCUUCUUCUCUAACAAGGUUCGAUCACGAUAAUUUGAUUGAUGAAGCUAAGCUGUAGCCGCAAUUUAUGAUUUGCUUCUAGAGUCUCAAUAGGACAAAAUAAAAGACACUGCCUCCGUGUAUGAAGAUUGAAAUCUUGUUUUACAUAUAGUAGUUCUAAAGAAUUAGGGUUCGAUCACGAUAAUUUGAUUGAUGAAGCUAAGCUGUAGCCGCAAUUUAUGAUUUGCUUCUAGAGUCUCAAUAGGACAAAAUAAAAGACACUGCCUCCGAGUAUGAAGAUUGAAAUCUUGUAUUUCAUAUAGGCUUUCCGAUUUCAUUGAAGUGGGGCAUUUCGCUUAGGAAUUGCACUUUAUAUUGGCUGAAGGCAUUUCAGUUUCGGAUUCUGUUCUAUUCUGUCACAUGAAAUAGCAAUAUGAUUGGACAGGGUUCCUUAGGUUGUCUCUAAUAAGAUAGCACGUUAUUGCAGACGUAUCUUCCGAGAGAAACUCCAGCGCCUCUAGUGAAGUACCGAGAGGAAGAGUUAGUUAACUUGAGAGGAGACGGAACGGGAGAGCUUCAGGAGUGGGACAGGGUGUACGACUAUGCUUACUACAACGAUUUGGGCGAUCCAGACAAGGGCACCAAGUAUGCCCGCCCUGUUCUAGGAGGAUCUGCUGAAUAUCCCUAUCCUCGCAGAGGAAGGACCGGUCGACCGCCGAGUGAGACAGGUUAGAUAAUGCACUCAUAUCAUGAAUCUCCAACUUGAUGUGAGAUUAUUAUGGCUUCAUUUUUUGUGACAAAGAUGCUUCAUUUGUAAGUAUAUUUUACUGAAUUUGCACGAUGUUAUCGACAGAUCCAAAUACCGAGAGCAGGCUGCCUCUGCUCAUGAGCCUAAACACAUACGUUCCUAGGGACGAACGGUUUGGCCACCUAAAGAUGUCCGACUUCCUUGCUUAUGCUGUAAAAGCCGUGGGUCAAUUUCUGAAGCCUGAGCUAGAGAGUAUAUGCGACAGCACGCCCAAUGAGUUCGACUACUUCCAGGAUGUGCUCAAUCUCUACGAGGGCGGUAUUAAGCUUCCCGAUGGCCCUUUGCUGGAGAGUCUGAAGGAGCACAUUCCCCUCGAGAUGCUUAAGGAACUCGUCCGGACUGACGGGGAAGGGCUUCUCGAGUACCCCAUGCCUCAAGUGAUCAAAGGUAAUGGAUACAUAUAUAACCUUGAGGCCUUUUUAAUCUGAUUAGUUUGAGGAUGUUUUCCUAACGUUUAGCAAUCAUGCUGUGCAGAAGAUAAGACUGCCUGGAGGACCGAUUUAGAAUUUGGCAGAGAAAUGCUCGCUGGAGUCAACCCUGUCGUGAUUCGCCGUCUCGAGGUAAACAACAAUAUCUUUCAUGUUACAGCUCAAACAAAUUCAGUUAAUAUUAAAAUGAAGUGCGGAAUGGAGUUCCACCAGUUGUCUAGUUGAUAAAACAUUUUUUGUUGAUUUCAGGAAUUCCCUCCGGCAAGCAAGCUAGACCCUAAAAUAUAUGGCAACCAGAGGAGUUCACUAAGGGAAGAGCUAAUUCAGAAGCAAUUGAAUGGAUUGACAGUCGAACAGGUACUGUCAUUGCAUCUCACAUCACUAAGAACGUCCAUGUGCUUGCUUAAAAGAUGAUGGCGAGUUCAUUUAAGUUCAAAUAUCCAAAUUGAAACGAUGCAUAACAAAUGCAGGCUAUCAAGAUGAACAGAUUGUUCAUAUUGGAUCACCAUGACACGAUCAUGCCAUAUCUGAGGCGGAUAAACAUGACUGCCACAAAAAUGUAUGCUACUCGAACACUCCUCUUCUUGAAGGAUGACGGUACCUUGAAGCCGCUGGCAAUAGAGCUUAGCAUGCCACAUCCUGAGGGAGACGAGUUUGGUGCGAUAAGCAAGGUGUACACGCCGGCCGAUCAAGGCGUGGAAGGUUCCAUCUGGCAACUGGCUAAAGCUUAUGUGGCAGUUAACGACGCAGGCUAUCACCAACUCAGCAGCCACUGGUAAAGAUCUCAGAGGAGCAUUCACCUAUAUAAAGAAGGGAAAUUUUUUAUUUAUUUAUUUCCUGCAUAUUGAUAAUUUUCUUCAUUCUUACCGCAGGUUGAAUACUCACGCGGCGAUUGAACCAUUUGUGAUUGCAACAAAUAGACAAUUGAGUGUGCUUCACCCAAUCUACAAGCUUUUGCAUCCCCAUUUCCGCGACACGAUGGAGAUAAAUGCAAUUGCCAGGCAGAUUGUGAUCAAUGCGGGUGGAAUACUGGAGACGACUGUAUUCCCAGCAAAGUAUUCCAUGGAGAUGUCUUCAGCCAUCUACAAGGACUGGAUUUUCCCCGAGCAAGCGCUUCCUACUGACCUCAUCAAGCGGUAAAUUCACUGUUCUAUACAUAUAAAUCAUCCAUAAGACUUCUAUUUAAAAUUGCUUCAAAAAGAAAGAAAAAUCAAGGCCAAUGAAGAUUGCGCAAAUGAACUUGGAAUAGCUGAGGCCCGUGCCGAGAUACAUAUCAAUACAGCUAUCGUUUGUUUUACUUGAAUUAUUCUGAUAGACUGAGUGACGAAAAAAUUCUACCUUUUCUUGUCUUCAGGGGAGUCGCUGUAGAAGAUGCGAACUCCCCGCAUGGCCUCCGCCUAUUGAUCGAGGACUACCCCUAUGCGGUAGAUGGGCUCGAGAUCUGGUCCGCGAUCAAGACGUGGGUUGAGGACUACUGCUCCUUUUAUUACAAGAGCGACCAGACGGUACAGGAGGAUGAGGAACUCCAAUCCUGGUGGAGGGAACUCGUGGAGGAGGGACACGGCGACAAGAAGGGUGAGCCCUGGUGGCCUAAAAUGCAGACGGUGAAGGACCUAACAGAGAUAUGUACGAUCACCAUCUGGAUCGCGUCUGCUCUCCAUGCGGCUGUGAACUUCGGGCAAUACCCUUAUGCAGGGUACCUCCCGAACCGCCCCACCCUCAGCCGUCGCUAUAUGCCCGAGGAAGGUACUCCCGAAUUCGAAGAGCUCAGGCAAAAUCCUGACAAGGCUUUCCUGAAAACUAUAACAGCCCAGCUUCAGACACUUCUAGGAAUUUCGCUUAUAGAGAUCCUUUCGACGCAUUCUACCGAUGAGGUGUAUCUUGGGCAGAGAGACACUCCGGAGUGGACAGCAGAUGCUGAGCCUUUGGAGGCGUUCGAGAGGUUCGGGAAGAAGUUGGGAGAAGUCGAGGAAAGGAUUAUGAGGAUGAAUGGGGACAAGAGGUGGAGGAACCGGGUCGGGCCAGUUGAGGUACCUUAUAUGCUGCUUUACCCGACGAGCGAAGGCGGAGUGACUGCCAAGGGAAUUCCCAACAGCGUCUCGAUCUAAACUUUUGCACGCACAACUGUUCUUUUCUUGUUUGUUCGUUGUUAACUUUCCUUUUAUUCUAGGAUGAAAGCUAUUGUAAAUAUGAAAUAUCAAAUAAGUGUGUGUCAAGUUUUGGGACUCAGUCUGCUAAUUAUCUACCUGCUAGGCUAACUAAUUGUUCUGGAGCUUUGCUUUUACAAGAAUCAGACAUUAUCUACAAGUUUCAAACUUUACAGACAAAAUCGAUUGUUGAAGGAUUGGAAAAAUGCCCGGUUGUGAAUGUCAGCCUGAAACCCCAGGUUUAACCCAUCAACUUGGCCUUUUUCUUCUUCCAUUGCAAGUUCAUGAACUACAAGUAAGUUUAAUUUUUAAUUUUCCUGAUAUGCGUCAAUCACAUAACUCAACCAUCUAGGCUUCCUGCUCGAUCUAAUGAUUUGAUUAUGCAGGCUCAACGAUUAAGCUGAUGAUCGUUAUACUCGUCUCUUUCUCCUAGAACCUUUAAAUAGUCGAAUUUGGCUACGUUUCCAUUCUUUGAAGCAGACCUUUAAGUUUCGGUACAUUAAGAUGAAAGAAAAGCCUUCCAUGCUGGUGUGUAAUAUGAGUAUUGACCUUGACGGGGCCUAGUAAGUUUUGCGGCAUCUCAAAUUCUAGAUGAUGUAAUUUUAAUGCAAGGAUAAUGUUCCGUUUAUCUCGCGUAAAAGGAAUGAUUUGAAUUUUUUCUUUUUAAAUGAUCGUUUCUAUUACUUGAACUAAUUAGUCAAUGACAUAUAUUUUAAUUAUUGACAAUUCUCCGUGUUUAAAUAUUUUUGAGAAUGAUGAAAAUAUUUCUCAUUUUUUUAAAAUUAAUCACGUGUGUUGCUUGAAAUAAUUAGUUGAUGAUAGAUUUUUCAUUAUCGACAACUAUCUAUGUCUAGACAUUUUCAUACACAAUGAAAAUAUUUCACGUUUGUUCAUUUGGUAAGUAAUAUAAAUGAUCAUUUUAGGAAAUGUUUUAUAUAUUAUUUGUGAAAUCAAUCUAAGUGAAGAUUGGUGCUGAUGACUACUGCAAUUUAACCAUUGAAUUUUAACGAGCAAAGAUUCGAAUUAUAACGACUUGUGUUAACCCUUGGUUAAGAAUAAAGCAAUUUCUACGCUACGGGUUAUAAAGAAAGCCAUCCCUUCUGUUAUUGAUUUCCUCCAUUAAAAAAACAUUAAAAAUUCAUUUGUUUGGCGGAAAUUUUCUAUCGAAAUAUAUAUAUACAUUUUUUUGACUUUUGAUGCUGAAGAGAAAGAGUCUAAUGAAAAGUCAUGACCAACCAAAACCUAUGCUUAAAUUUGAAAAAUUUAUUUUGUCUUUCAAAAAUCAGAAAUUAAAUUUCAAAAUAUAAUUAAACCUUGACACAUGUGCCCAAAUCCUUUGUGGCUUGGUCCAGGUUUUAUAGAAGCUGAGCUUGAGGCCUUUGAGGUUGGACUUGGGACUCUAGUGCCCAUGCUCGGGUUAUCGACAGCCAUGUCUGGGGACCUGGGUCCCACGGUCAAGUCACUAGCAUCUGGGCCUAGGUCCAUCGAGACUGGAGUUGGGUCCACAGAGGCUAGACCCAGGUUCCUGAGGCCAAACUCGAGAUCUUGGUGCUCAUACUCGGGUCCAGGAGGCCAUGGCCAAGUAUGAUUUAUCAAAAGUGAACAUUGGUAUGAUUUGUCAAGCUUUCAAGCCUUUUGUCAUCCCCCCAUCUCUCUCGAUCCAAUGCUCAACUCCCCAUCGGACGGUCUUCAAAGCAACGUAGGUUCGGGUCUCGCUUGGUCAUUUCAGAUAAUCUCAACGCGUCUCGAAUGAAUAUAAUUGACGCAAGAUAAACCAAGGAUUAAGGCAUAUGCCACUAAAUUCAAAGCCGCGUGCUAAUCACUUCGUCAAUUCCUUAAUCAUCAACAAGUCUUCGUGGCUUUCCCUAAAUGGGUCUUCGGUAGCCAUCAUUGAAUCAGCGCGUGGAAGAACGUGCCAUCGCCCCGGGAUUAGGUCUAUAAAUUCAACCAAAGCCAACCGAAUGUCUCCUCAUUUUAAAAAAGAAGAAGAAGGGGAAAAAUCUAUUAAAAAGUAUUAUUUAACGAGUGCCAUAGAUACUAAUCAAGCAUUUAAAUGAGAAAACUUAGGUUUUCAAGAUUAUAAGAUACGUUUUGUGGUCUAGAUUUCUAAUCAAGAUAGAAUUUAAUGAAAUAGAAUAUGUAAUUUAUGAAUUUUAUUAUAUUCUAUCAUUGUUUAGUGAAUAGUAGUAAUGAAAUUGGAUACUUUUAUAUCUUAUAAAAUCCCUUGUUUGAUAUGAACAAAAUAUGAAAAUGUACAAAUGGAAUCAUGAUUUAUUGCUAAAGAAAUUACAAAUGUAAAAAUGAAGAUAACCUUUGUCAAUCAAUUCAUAAUCAUUGUACAAUCUACAUCUUAAAUAGGAACAAAGCUCGUUGUAGCACUCUAGAGCCACAUGUUCAAUAAUGACAAUAAAUGUAAAUGGACUACGGCAACAUGGAGUAGGUAGAUCAGUCAACAAAAGUCAAAUCUAAUAAAAGAGACAAAAAAUUAUUUGUCUUCUUGAUUUGGAAAAAUAUAGUGCUUGGCCUAUCUCGUCACUUUCGUGAAAUUUCAACAUGAAUCAAAGAACAAUAGAAAAGAGGAGUUUCGACUCUUUUGCUUCUUUUGUGAACUUUUGACGUGAACUAGAGAGUUUCGGAGCAAAAGAGUUUCAACUCUUUCGUCAUUUUUGUGGAACUUUAACGUGAAUUAAAAACUACGGAGAAGUAGUAAAGUUUCAACAUGAAUUAGAAAUACGAAGAAGAAUGAGGCAAAGUGAAUUGGAAAGAUCCGUCUCAACUUUGAAUUUAUUCAUUUAAAAUCAAGGUUCUUCUACUUCGUUUUUAUUUAUUUAUUUGUUAAUAAAUUUUCUCUCUUUUUCUAUUUCAUGUUUAUUCCCUUCAAUCAUUCCUUAAUAUAUAAAUUUUCUUAAAUAAUAAGAACUACUAAUAUUACCUAAAAUGUGUAAUGAAUAUAAAUACCUACUAAAUAUACAUACUCACACAUAUAUAAUGUUAUAGUUUAGAAAAAAAUUCAAAUAUAUAUAGGAAUAAAUAAAAAAGAAAAUCGUCCAUUAUUAUAUUUUUAAUCUUGACUUUUCUUUUUUUAUAUUAGAAUCCAAAUAUUUUUAUAUUUUAAUCAAUAUAUGUAUUUUAAAUUUAAGAGUUUGUUAGUCGAGAAAAAUACCUCUUACGCCAUGAAUAUAAUAAAUUCUAUCUACCUUUAUUACAUAUCUUUCAUGCAAUAUCUUUAUCCAUGCUAUAUUCUCCUUAUAUCUGAAUUUAUUUUAUUUUGAAUAAGAAUCAAACUCGAGAAAAUAUAAGAUCCUAUCUUGACUAUGAAACGUAACGAAACUUCUUUUGUAAAAUACAUCCUAUUGAGUAUACAUGCAAAUACGUCCUUAAGACCGCGGAAAGAGGAAAAAGGAAGAAAUUCCAAGUCUCCCGUAAACAACUGGAGCUUCUUGGCGAUACCGUAGCGUCGAACUUUCCCUUAUAAAUGCCCUCCAUCGCAACGCUUACCCUUCUUCAUUCAUUUCAAUACCCAUCCUUCUCUUCCUUUCAUUCCAUCGACUUCGCAAAAAGGUUCCACACAUUCUCCGGAAUGGAUAAGCUGUUUCACGGGAUGCUGCACGCCUUCAACUGCGGCGACAAGGCAUGCCGCCGGUGCGAGGUGGGCGGGUCGAAAAAGGUCAAGGGCACUGUGGUACUGAUGAAGAAGUACGUCUUGGACUUCAAUGACUUCAACGCGUCGGUCCUCGACGACAUCCACGAGCUGUUGGGUAAGAAGGUCUCUCUGCGGCUCGUGAGCGCCGUCCACGGUGAUCCCGGUGAGUCAUGACCCUCUUCCUCGCUAUCUUCUUGUCGUUCAUUUCUGGAACAAGUUCUUUCGAUGGCUUUUCUUGGUUCUACACUGUGCUGGACAUUUCUGUUGGCGAAAUGAUGAAUGGCAACGAAUUAAACUAUUCGUCAUCAUGACAAGCGAUCUUCUUCCCCACGAAGAAAAGACAAUAAUGAUAAUUAUUUCACCGCAUUUCGAAGUGGACCGCUGGAGUUUCGAUGCUCUAUAAUUAAAAAGAAAGCAAUUUCUUGCUUAGAUUUCGAGAAAGCGUAACAUGGACUUCUUCCUCACAAAGAAAAGAUAAUAAUUAUAAGUAUUUCAUGUGACUUGCAUAUGUCUGAGUGGAUCACUCGCGUUUCGAUGUUCCAUUACGAGAAAACAAACUACUUCUUGCUCAGAUUUCAAGAAAGCAUAACAUGUGCAUCUUCGCUUUAAUUCAGCGUGUUAUUGACAGGAGUACAGUUGUGCAAUUUGAGUGUUUGGAGGAAGUAUUAAAUUUAAGUCUGUCCUCCAAUGAGGUGAACUUUACAGAUGUUUCUCAUGAGAAAAAUAAUUUAGCAGCUUCAGUUCCAGGGGACGAGGCACAUAGCUAGGGCCAUUAGAUCAAUUAAUAAUUGGCAAGCUGUUUGCAAUGUUAGAAGCUAGGUUGGAAGCAGAAGAUUACUUUGCCUUAAAGCGAGAUAUUAAAAGCGUGUGUAUCUUGUAAUUAAAUAGAGAUGUGAAGCCUAUUUGUAAUAGACUUACUUUAUUUUGUCUCAAAUAAAGUUUGGGUCAGAUUUGGGACAACACUUAAAGUUCGUGUUUUUUUUUUAAGACAAAAUAAAGUUCGGGCUAGAUUUGGGACAACACCUAAAGUUCAUGCUUUUUCUUGAGACAAAACAAAGUUCGGGCCAGAUUUGUGACAACACUUAAAGUUCGUGCUUUUUUAUGGAAUUGGCCCCAAUUUCUCAUAUUUAAAUAGAUAGAUCAUGGUAGAUUUAGAAUAAUCAUUAAAUAUCACGAAAAUUUGGGUACAUUUAGGUGUUUGCACUAUGGGUAGGAUUCUCUAAUAUAUGAGAGUCUUUCUAAACCAACUUAUAAUUUAAAGGAAAAAAUUAUGUUAAUUCUAAAACCUCAAGCCGAGGCCAAAAAAAAAAAAAAAAAAAAAAAAGGAAGAAAGAAAGAAAGAAAGAAAGAAAGAAAGAAGAAAAGCCAAUUGAAAAGCUCAAACGUUCAAACUAGGUUAAGUAUUUUGACUUGAUUUUAAUGUUGACCAUUUGGGCUAAAGUUAGUUAGGUCAUAUUUUAGCACCCGCGUCAGGCGCUUUUACUUUUUCUCUCUUUUAGAUACAAUACAUGCAUAUAUGUGUGCGUUCGUGUAUGUAUGUAUGUAUGUAUGUAUGUAUGUAUGUAUUAUGCAACAUUUGUAAACUCGAGUAACCACGUGUCCCAUCUUUUUUCAUGUUUUGGAAGAAGUGGAUGAAACUAAAUCAGAAUUAUGAAUUGUUUUCCUCAAUCGAGUCCAAAUUUUAAAAUCAACAAAUAUUUAUGCAAUAUUUGUUUUGGACUGUUUAUAAUUUUCCACUCACGCUUUAUUUUAUUUUAUUUUUAAUUAGGAAAAAGCUCAAAUCAUUUUUUUGGGUUCUCUCUCCAGUCCACAUCCUGUCCCAUAGACGUGGAUUUAGUCUUUAUCUUCUAUGCUCUUUUUGCUUCACGGAAUUUUUUUUUUCGAAGAAGUAUUUUAUUCAUAUUUUGACGUUUGAUUUGCUCAAGAAAAUGAAUUAAUGGAAAAUAUUUUUCUGGUUAUUAAAAAACCUAUGCUAAAAUUCAGAAAAAUGAUUUCCUCUUUAAAAAAUAAAAGAUGACUUUCCAAACUAUGACCAGGUUUUGGUGCUUGGACUCAAAACUUUAUGCUAAGCCAUGAACUCCAAUGCUGGCUCCUGAGUCCUUGGCAUCGAGGACUAGGUCUUCGGUGCCCGGGCUCGGAUACUGAGGUCGUGCUUGUGUCCAAGGUCUAUCGAGGCCGGGCUUGAAAUCCUGAUGCUUGUGCCAGGGUCUAUUGAGGCUAGGCCUGGUAAUAUGGGUGAGCAUGAUCCCUAGAAUUGAGAAUUGCCCAAUAAGGGUUGGUUCCAGAAAAUUCGAAUCCACUAGGAAAUUAGACUAUUGGUUCAUUUAGGGCGCGUUUGGUAACGAUUCUGUUCCCGAGAGCUGAUUCUGACUAGAAAUGAUUAUUUUUGAUUAUGUUCCCGGAACCGGAAACUGAUUCUGAGUAAAAAAGUGCGUUUGGUAAUUGUUUAAAAUUUUUUAUUCUGGAAUAGAAUUGCGUUUGAUACCGUGUUAAUUGAUUAUGUUCCAAAUUAAUUUCUUUUAAUUUUUAAAUAAUUUUUAAAUAAUUCUUUUUACUUUUUUACUUUACUUUUUUCCUUUUUUUUCUUUUUUUUCCCCUUUUUUCCUAUUCUUCUUCUUCAUCAUCUGGCCGGUCGCCGGACCGGCGACCGGCUAGACGAGGGCCGGUGACGCUCACAGGAGCGUCGCCGGCCCUCGGUGAGGUCGGCCUUCGUUGGCCGAGCCUUGCUGGCAGCUAGGCGAGGCUUGCCCAGCCUUGUCGGUGGCCAAGCCGGCCUCGCCUAGCCUCGGCGAGGCCAGCUUGGCCAUCGGCGGGGCUGGGCGAGCCUCGCCGGUGGCCAGGCGAGCUUCACUGGUAGCUGAGCGAGGCUCGCCCAGCCAUUGGCGAGGCCGAGCCUCGCCCAACUGCCGGCGAGGCUCGCCUGGCCAUCAGCGAGGCUGGGCCUCGCCGGUGGUGGGGCUUGCCUUCGGCGAGCUCGCCGAACCUCGCCCUGGCCUGGUGAGCCUCCAGCGACCGGCGGCGGACGGCGACGGCGGGCGACGGCGGGCGGUGGCGGACAGCAACCGGGAUGGCGAAAGGGAAAAGCGAGGGUUUCACCAUUUUGAUUCUUUUUCUGAUUCUCGGACGGAGAAUCAAUUUUUUUUUUUUUAUAUUCUCAAAUCUUGUCCAAAAUUGUUCCCAGAAACAAAUUUGUUCUCGGGAACAAAAAUUUUACCAAACGCGAUUCUCGUCCCAAAUUGAUUCUGAGAACAAAAAAUCAGAAUUUGGCACUAUUUGGCACAUUGCCAAACAGGCCCUUAGUUUCUUGGUUGGUCCAUGGAAUCGGCCAAGGGAGGUGGAGAAGGGGUAGGGAGGGGUGGAAGAGUAAGGAAAGGGCGGGCACAGGUUGUAGGUGGAGUGGAGCAGAGAUGGGAGAGGGCGAGACGAGGGGUGAUGAUGAGGUGGAGUGGGAGAGUAGGGGAGCGAGAGGUGGGUUGAGGGAGUGAAGGUGGUGGAGAGAAGAUCUACAUCUCUCUAGAGAGAGAAUGGACACAAACAAUGAAGGGGGGGGGGAUAUUAAUUCGAGGUGAUUCGAUCCAACAAGGUUGUGAAAGAUAAUGGAGAUCAAGACCAGAGUACAAAGAGUAAUGACAUACCUUUUCUUUGAAGGUUCUUGAAACCCAACUCAGCAAGAGUGAAGAAACUACCAUGAACGUAGCUCACUCUAGAGAUGUUGUUGAUCAUGCAAGGGACGUGGAAGAAAUAGGAGAGAUUGUGUAGUAUUAAUUGGAGAGAGAGAAUGCAGGAGUUUGAAUGAGAAGAGAGAGAAAAGUGGGGAGUUGGCGAUUGAUACAAGGUUUUUUGUUUUUGUUUUGAAAGGCAUAAAGGAGAGAGAGAGAGAGAGAGUUGUGCCAAUUGAAGAUAGAGAAAAUAGAGAGAUGAAAUUUAAUAUACACACUAGUCCGGUCCAAGUGGGCAAUUUGGAACUGGGAACAUGACUAGUACUCGUAACAAUUGUUGGUUUUGGCCUGGUUAUGGGUGGUCAGGGCGAUUUCUGAUCAUUUUCACACCCUUUCUUGUGGGCUUGAGACCGAGGUACUUGAUUGAGGCUAGAUCGGGACUCUAGUGCCCAUACUUGGUUCUCCAGCUAUCUAUGGGUAAGUUAUUGGCACCCACGCCCAAAUAAUGUAUAUAUAUUUAAGAAAAUCAAAUUAAAUUUUUCAUUUGGUUGGAAAAUAUUUUCAGCUCAUUUCACAUUUCAGCCAAAUAUAAAAAAAUAUUGUCAUUUUUCAUGAAAAUAAUUUUUGAAAAAUAAUUUUUAGAAAAAUUAUAUUUUUCGCAAAGUAAAUGGACCAUUAUAAACAAACAGUCAAUGAUAUCCUCCGGCCAAUAGCCCAAUGCCAAGUUCUCUAUAUUCUUUUUUCUUUUUAAUCGUUUCUGACCAAACGAAUUUCCCAUUAUUGACCGAACAUAUUUCUUGAAUUUAAAGUUUCUUUUCUGCAUGACUAUGUUUCUUGACUACGAAUGGAUUUUCCUCUACGCAUGCCGGCAACAGAGCUAAGAUCUCACCGUGGUUAAGGUUUGCAUUGACAUCAUGAAGAUGAUGCAUGUUUUGAUUAACAGGUUAAGGUUUGCAUUGACAUCAUGAAGAUGAUGCAUGAAUUGAAUAUGAUGGGCCAUCGCCAUGAAGGACGAUGCAAGAGAAUUGGCUGAAAGAGUUGUCUCUUUCCGAUCGUCCAUGUUAUCCAUAGAAUGGCUCUUUGCCUUGUGUGCACUAGAGCUGUGCAAUUAAAUUGGUUCUUCCUGACAAUUAGAUCGGACCGCCCAAAAAUCUGGUGUAGGAAUAGGUUCCCACUGGAACCAAUCCUAGAAAAUGUUUUGAGUGAAUACCUACGUAGGCACUAGUCUAAUAGUUAAAAACCCAAAACUCUAAUUUCUUUUUUCUCUAAAUUUUAACCGCAACACUCUUUCAUCAUUUGUCUUACCUUUGAACUUCUCGCCAAUUUUCCUCUUCUUACCUUUGAACUUCUCGCCAAUUUUCCUCUUCUCUUAAAUUUUUAUAGACAAGUGGGGAAUGGAGUUUUAUAAUUUAUGUUUUACAUUAUGUGUUUGAACUUUUUAUUAUAUAUAAUUGUACAUGACUAUAUAUUCAUCUUAUUAAUUGUUGUUUUUGGUAAAUAUAGAUUUUUGUUGUUCAUAAUUUACUUUGAAACUUUUUGUUACUCAUAACUUCAUAUGAUUUUGCUAUAAAAAAUGAACAAAAAAAAAAAAAAAGCAAGUUCUUGGGUAGACCCUGGAAUUGUACCAGAAAAACAUGAUAGGUUCUAGACGAUUUCAACAAAAUAGAAUAGGUUCCGGUGUCCAAAAACUAGAAAUCAAUUGUAAUAGGGUAGGUUCAAGGUUCCUUUCUAGAAUUUGUGCAUUUUAAAACCGAUUACCCAUGGUGUGCGCUGCAACAAGAAAAGACUUCAUCGUAAAACAUGUGGUGAUUUUCCUCAUGUGACGUCCUAGUGCCACACCACCUAAUCAACCAAUGGUGCAUGGCAUUAGCAAUUAUUGUAGUUAAUUUUCGGGUUAUUGGCCAAUAAUAUAAUUAUAUAAGCUUUCAUUUGUCACUUUCGAUUGGAAAUUUGUGCUGCGUACUGCAAGGAUGUGCUUUCUAAAUCACCUCAUUGAGCACAAGCUCGGUUCCUUGUCUGCUGAAACGGCACCAUGCUUGCGACGGCAAGAAGAUUAUAGAUAACAUAAUAUCAGUGGGAAUGAACUGAAAAUUGGAAACAAAAUGCGAAUGACUUUGCGCGAAUCAUUGAACAGAUUCGGACCCUUUGCCAUGUUAAAGAUGAACGUCAUUCUCUUUCAGCAGGGCGAAAAGAUCAAAAGCUUUGAAACAUUUUAUUUCUUUUUCGCGCUUUGCAGAGAACGGUUUGCAGGGGAAAUUGGGAAAGCCUGCAUAUCUUGAAAAAUGGAUCACUACCAUCACUCCCUUAACGGCAGGGGACUCGGCGUUCGAGGUCACUUUCAAUUGGGACAAGAAGGUGGGAGUUCCGGGGGCAAUCACCGUACAAAACAACCAUCACAGUCAGUUUUACCUCAAGACGAUCACACUCGAAGAUGUGCCUGGCGAGGGCCGAGUCCACUUCAUCUGCAACUCGUGGGUCUACCCUGCCGACCGGUACAAGAAGGACCGGGUCUUCUUCUCUAACAAGGUUCGAUCACAAUACUUUGAUGAAGCUAAGCUAUAGCCGCAAUUUAUGAUUUGCUUCUCGAGUCUCAAAUCAAUAGGACAAAAUAAAAGACAUAGCCUCCGAGUAUGAAGACUUAAAUCUUGUUUUGCAUAUAGUUGUUCUAAAAAAAUAAGCUGAUGCAGAAAAUUGGUCAGGAAGGAGUGACUUUUCAAACGGUCUUAGCUUCCCGAAAACCUAAUUUGCGUAUUAGAAUCUCACUUCUAGGAAUUCUCUGGGUAUACCCUACUUUUAGCCAGUUUCAGCAUCUUGUAAGCUUUCCGAUUUCAUUGAAGAGGGGCAUUUCGCUUAGGAAUUGCACUUUAUAUUGGCUGAAGGCAAUUCAGUUUCGGACUCUAUUCUAUUCUGUCAGAUGAAAUUGCAAUAUGAUUGGACAGGGUUCCUUCGGUUGUCUCUAAUAAGAUAGCACGUUAUUGCAGACGUAUCUUCCGAGCCAAACUCCAGCGCCUCUAGUGAAGUACCGAGAGGAAGAGUUAGUUAACUUUAGAGGAGACGGAACGGGAGAGCUUCAGGAGUGGGACAGGGUGUACGACUAUGCUUACUACAAUGAUUUGGGCGAUCCAGACAAGGGCACGAAGUAUGCCCGCCCUGUUCUGGGAGGAUCUUCUGAAUAUCCCUAUCCUCGCAGAGGAAGGACCGGUCGACCUCCGACUGAGACAGGUUAGAUAAUGCACUCAUAUCAUGAAUCUCCAAUUCGAUGUGAGAUUAUUAUAGCUUCUUCUUUUUUUGAUAGUAAUGCUUCAUUUGUAAGUAUAUAUGUUACUGAAUUUUCACGUUGUUAUCGACAGAUCCGAAUACUGAGAGCAGGCUGCGUCUGCUCAUGAGCCUAAACACAUACGUUCCAAGGGACGAACGGUUUGGCCACUUAAAGAUGUCUGACUUCCUUGCUUAUGCUCUAAAAGCCGUGGGUCAAUUUCUGAAGCCCGAGCUAGAGAGUAUAUUCGACAGCACGCCCAAUGAGUUUGACUCCUUCCAGGAUGUGCUAAAUCUCUAUGAGGGCGGUAUUAUGCUUCCCAAUGGCCCUUUGCUGGAGAGUCUGAAGGAGCACAUUCCCCUCGAGAUGCUUAAGAUACUCUUUCGGACCGAUGGGGAAGGGCUUCUCGAGUACCCCAUGCCUCAGGUGAUCAAAGGUAAUGGAUACAUAUAUCUAUGGGACCUUUUUCAUCUGAUUAGUUAGAGGCUGUUUUCCUAACGUUUAGCAAUCAUCCUGUGCAGAGGAUAAGACUGCCUGGAGGACCGAUGUAGAAUUCGGUAGAGAAAUGCUCGCUGGAGUCAACCCUGUCGUGGUUCGCUCUCUCCAGGUAAAUAAUAAUAUCUUUCAUGUUAAAGCUCAAACAAAUUCAGUUAAUAUUAAAAUGAGGUGCGGAAUGGAGUUCCACCGGUUGUCUAGUUGAUUAAACCUUUUUUGUUGAUUUCAGGAAUUCCCUCCGGCAAGCAAGCUACACCCUAAAAUAUAUGGCAACCAGAGCAGUUCAAUAAGGGAAGAGCUCAUUCAGGAGCAACUGAAUGGAUUAACUGUCGAACAGGUACCUUCGUUGCAUCUCACAUCACUAAGAGCGUCCAUAUACUUGCUUAAAAGAUGAUGGAGAGCUCAUUUAAGUUAUAACAUCCAAAUUGAAACGAUGCAUAACAAAUGCAGGCUAUCAAGAUGAAAAAAUUGUUCAUAUUAGAUCACCAUGACGCCAUCAUGCCGUAUUUGAGGCGGAUAAACACGACCACCACCACCAAAACGUAUGCUACUCGAACACUCCUCUUCUUGAAGGAUGAUGGUACCCUGAAGCCGUUGGCAAUAGAGCUUAGCUUGCCGCAUCCUGAGGGAGACGAGUUUGGCGCAAUAAGCAAGGUGUACACGCCAGCCGAUCAAGGCGUCAGAGGUUCCAUUUGGCAGCUGGCUAAAGCUUAUGCUGCAGUUAACGACUCAGGCUAUCAUCAACUCAUCAGCCACUGGUAAAGAUUUCUAAGGAGCAUUCAACUAUAUACAGAAGGGGAAGAAAGUCUAUUUAUUUCCUGCAUAUUGAUAAUUUUCCUGAUUCUUACUGCAGGUUGAAUACUCACGCGGCGAUUGAACCAUUUGUGAUUGCAACAAAUAGACAACUGAGUGUGCUUCACCCGAUCCACAAGCUUUUGCAUCCCCAUUUCCGCGACACAAUGGAGAUAAAUGCAAUCGCCAGGCAGAUUGUGAUCAAUGCAGGUGGAAUCCUGGAGAUGACUGUAUUCCCGGCAAAGUAUUCCAUGGAGAUGUCUUCCGCCAUCUACAAGAACUGGAUUUUCCCCGAGCAAGCGCUUCCUGCUGACCUCAUCAAGCGGUAAAUUUUCUGUUCUGUACAAAUAAAUCAUCCAUAAGACUUUCUUUAAAAUUCCUUCAAAAGGCAAGACGAAUAAAGGCCGAUGAAGACAGCGCAGAUGUACCUGGAAUAGCUGAGGCUCGUGCCGAGAUACAUAUCAAUAUAGCUCUCGUUUAUUUUACUCGAAUUAUUCUGAUAGACUGAGCGUGACGAAAAAAUUCUACCUUUUCUUGUCUUCAGGGGAGUCGCUGUAGAAGAUGCAAACUCCCCGCAUGGCCUCCGCCUAUUGAUCGAGGACUACCCCUACGCGGUAGAUGGGCUUGAGAUCUGGUCCGCGAUCAAGAUGUGGGUUGAGGACUACUGCUCCUUUUAUUACAAGAGCGACCAGACGGUACAGAAUGACAAGGAGCUCCAAUCCUGGUGGAAGGAACUCGUGGAGGAGGGACACGGCGACAAGAAGGGUGAGCCCUGGUGGCCUAAAAUGCAGACUGUGAAGGACCUAACAGAGACAUGUACGAUCACCAUCUGGAUCGCGUCUGCUCUCCAUGCGGCUGUGAACUUCGGGCAAUACCCUUAUGCAGGGUACCUCCCGAACCGCCCCACCCUCAGCCGUCGCUAUAUGCCCGAGGAAGGUACUCCCGAAUUUGAAGAGCUCAAGCAAAAUCCUGACAAGGCUUUCCUGAAAACCAUAACAGCCCAGCUUCAGACACUUCUAGGAAUUUCGCUUAUAGAGAUCCCUUUCGUCGCAUUCUACCGAUGAGGUGUAUCUUGGGCAGAGAGACACUCCGGAGUGGACAGCAGAUGCUGAGCCUUUGGAGGCGUUCGAGAGGUUCGGGAAAAAGUUGGGAGAAGUCGAGGAAAGGAUUAUGAGGAUGAAUAGGGACAAGAGGUGGAGGAACCGGGUCGGGCCAGUCGAGGUGCCCUAUAUGCUGCUUUACCCUACCAGCGAAGGCGGAGUGACUGCCAAGGGAAUUCCCAACAGCGUCUCGAUCUGAACUUGUGCACGCAUGCCUGUUCUUUUCUUGUUUGUUCGUUGUUAAUUGUUCCUCUGUUCUCGUACGAAAGCUAGUGUACGUGUGAAAUGUGAAUAACGACAAAACAAAUAUAGCAUGAAGUGUUUGUCGAGUUAUGUAGGAGUUUCAAACUUUACAUGUACAAACGAUUGUUUUAUGGAUUGGAAAAAUGUCAGGUUGUAAAAUUCAGUAUGGAACCCCAGGUUCAACCUUCAACAUGUUCCUUUUCUACUUCAAUUGCAAGAUCAUCAGCUAUAAAUGAGUUUUAUCUUCUUUUUUCUGAUCUAUAUCGAUCACAUAACUUAACCAUCUGGGCUAUAUGCUCAAUCUGAUGGUUUUUGCAGGCACAACAAUUUAAGUGAUGAUCGUUAUAGUCAUCUCCCUCUCCUAGAACCCUUGAAUCGUCGAAUUCGGCCUUUGUUUCCAAUCUUCGAAGCAGACCUAAGUUUUGGAACAUUAUGGUGAAUGAAAAGCCUUCUGUGCUGUAUGUAAUAUGGGGAAAAUUACCAAAAAAAUCAUAAAUUUAUUGCACUUUGAUUAAUUGAGUCAUAAACAUUUUAAUUGUGCAAAUUAAGUGUUAAACCUUUUCAUAUUUUGCCAAUUGAGUCCAUCCGAUCAAUUUUGAUUAGAAUAUGUUGAAGUGGACUCAAUUGGCAUAAUUAAAAUAUUUAAGACUAAAUUGGCAUCGGUAAUUUCCCAUGUAAUGUGAGUUUUGGCUUAGCGAGGCCAAAUAAGUUAUGCAACAUCUCAAAUCCUUGACCAUGUAACUUUAAGCAAAAAUAAUGCUCCAUUGGUUUUGCGGAAAUGAUUGACUUGUAAAUAUUUUUCUAAAAAUAAUUGCUUUUACUUGUAUUGUUUAAAUAAUUAGUUGAUGACAUAUGUUUUCAUCAUCAAUAACUCUUUGUGUCUAACUGUUUUCAUGAAAGAUGAUAUUAUUUCUCAAUAUUCCCAUUAUGUUGCUUGAAAUAAUUAGUCAAUGACGACAACUAUAUAUAUCUAAACAUUUUUAUAAACAAUGAAAAUAUUUCUCGUUCAUUCAUUUUUAUAAAUGAUACACAUGAUCAUUUUAAGAAAAUAUUUUUCAAAUCAUUAGGGAAAUAAAAACACCCUAAGUGAAGAAAUUAACAAGCAACGAUUUGAAUUUUAAUGCCUCGUGUUAACUCCUGAUUAGGGGAAAAACAACUUUUACACUAUGGGUAAAAAGGAAAGACAUCCCUUCUAUUCCCGUUUUUCUUCAUUAAAGCCACCAAAGCUUCUUAGAAAAUGGUACAUAUCCAUUUAUUUCCAGAAAAAUCUACUAACGAAUUUUUUUUUUCUCAUUUUUUGACUUUGGAUGCCUAAGAAAAAAGUCUAAUAGAAAGUCUUUGACUAAAUUCUAUACUCAAAUUCAAAAAAAUAAUUUUAUGUUUUAAAAAUUAGAAAUUAUUUUUCGAGAUAUAAUUAGACCUUGGUGCUUGAGAGCAGGGACCAACGUCUAUGCCCAAAUCCUUAAGGACUUGGCAAAGGUUCAUAGAGCCUGAGCAUGAGUUCCUUGUGGUCAGACUUGCGACCCUAGUCCAUGCCUAGGUUAUAGCCGGCUAUGCUUAGGUACCUAGCUUUCAUAGUCAAGUCAUUGGCAUCUGGGCACAAGCCCAUCAAGGCUCGAGUUGUGUCGAGUGUCGAUAGAGGCAAGGCCUCGGUUCUUGAGGUCCGGCUCGAGAUCCCUAUGGUCAUACUCCGAUCUUCGGAGGCCAUGCUCGAGUACAUGGCUUUCCUCCCACGUCGAAGUCACCGGUGACCACCCUCGGGUUUUUAGUUGUUAGGCUUGAGAAACCCCAACUCCGACAAUCAGAGAGGAUUGAAUUACUAAAUUCAAUUGUUAUUGUUAUAUUAUUUUGGUGCUCCAUAGAGCGACUUAUGGAGAGUUGACAGGUGGAUAUUUUAUGGUUAAUCACCUCGCUUCCCUUUGCUUUAAUUUUUUUUUCCAUCUUCCUGCUUAUGUCCAAGAUAUAACUUUUUAUCAAUAAUAGAAACACACUAUAAAUAAUGCAAGUAUCUUGACAUCACCAAAAUGAUCACCACGCAAUCAAAUUCUCAAGACAACAACACAUGAAUAUAUAUUUUAUUUUUAAUAUUUGAUAUUUAAAUAUAAACGAAAAAAAAGAGACAUUCAGAAUAAUUGUAGCCAGGCACUUGUUGGUCGUUUAGUGAAGGACUUUGUUCUUCUUUGCUUGGUUUGGAGUUCUUGGAAUACUCAAUAAACGCGGCGUUAAAUUAGUUUCAUUGACUUGACUUUCGAAAUUCAGACGAGCUUCGUCGAGGCAGAAUCUCACCGGCCCGCGAUUACCAGACUCCCAAAUCCAUGCGUAGUCUUUAAUGUCUGAUUUUGAUCAAUUAUGUUUCAUUGGCGUAGGAUCGAUUUUAAUGAUGCUAGCUCGAGGUGACCUGUUGAACCCGUAAAGAUACACAAAUCUAUAAGCUACUACCAAACUUUGAAUACAUAUAUCAAUGAAUCAUUGCGGCGACAAAUAAAUCAAACUUUUUGGAGAAGUUUGCUAAUGUUACUUUGACUAGUAUUUCCAAAUUAAUGCAUUUGCGAAAGUAAUGGUGUGAUCACCUAUAUGUAUAUGUAAUCUCAAAGUUACAGUCUGUUAUUACUUAGGGCAAAUAUAUAUGUUGAUGCAAAUUAAAGACGUUAGUACGGAAGGCAUUGUAAAAACCAAAAACCUUACUUCGUGGGAUGUGGAAUUUGUGUCCUUUAUCACUAUUAUUAGUAUUAUUUUGUCAAGAGGCAAUAAUACCUCGAGCAUCUUAACUUUGGCUUGUUUUAUAAUCGAGUAUCCAAAUCUUCUUUUUUGUUCGGUCGAGUACCUCAAGUUCUCAAAUGUGGAUCAAUGUGAAACCAUAGUUAAAAUUGUAGAGAAAAAAAAAAUGCAAAAAUGGAUACUAACACCGAUAAAGCCUUUAACUCCCACAUUCGCGUCUGAUAUGAUCUCUUUACGUGAUGUCACGUUAAUAGUCAUAUUGAACAGGCAAAAUCAAAAUUGUACAAAUCAACAUUCUCUCUCUCUCUCUCUCUCUCUCUCUCUCUCUCAUGCAUGUGCACACACAUCACCUACACCUAAGUGGUGGUCGUUAGCCAAAACUGGCUGGAAGGACUACAUUGGCAAAUUUUCAAAAAGUUUAGAACAAAAGUAGCAAAUUGAAAAUUUUUGAUUGAAUUGGCAUCUAAAUAUAAGGUUUGAGACCUUUGUUUAAAAAAAAAAAAAAUCUCCUGUACAUUGGCGGAGAAUCCGAGUGUGAUAUCAUAUCUGUUCGUUUGAAGUGUCAACAUUUGAUGCACAUGCCGUAUCAAGCUGGGUAACGACAUGGAAAUCAAAGUCUGUGCAUCUUAUCUCGAAAGAUUUCGAUCGGCUAACGACAAAUUCCCCCGUUACCAUCCCACAAGGUAAAUGAACCAACCGCGUGGCGGCGGCAAGUCGAUGAUCUCACCUCAAGGAACGGCCGCCGAGGUGCCCAUAGCAGCACCUCACAUUUGGCUUCUGUAGGAAGAAGAAUCAAAGCACUUAUUAUUCGGUGUACCUAUUCUCUCCAUUAUAAUAAUAAUAAUAAUCUAAUUUUCACGCACUUAGUAUAAUAUGCACGCAUACACGAAGACGUCGACAGGACCGCAUGCACAUACGUAAGAUCUUCAUUUAUUUAUUCAUGGGUUCCCCCGUUGUCUUUUCCUUUUUCCUUUUCUUUUUUCCAUUUUUGUAGACCUUGGCAAUUAGCAGCCCCUUCUGAAGAAGCCCUCUAUUCAAGGGGAAGAAAAGGUCGUCUCGACUCCCCCCAAUCACUGAGGUUCCCACCAAAAUGUCCAUGAAUUCAGGUUUUAAAUUCAAAGAGAUGAUCUCAGGUUCCAGCUCCUAACAAUCACCCUAAGGGUGCGUUUGUUUGCGUUUCUGUUUAAAAAUUGUUAUAGGAAACAGAAAUAGAAAAAAAUGUUUCUAUUCCGGGGAACAAUUUUUGAACAAAAAAACGCGUUUGGUAAACUUGUUCCGGGAAUAAAAAAUAAACAGAAACACAUUUGGUAAAUUUGUAUAAUUUUUUUAUUUCUUUUAUUUUUUAAUAUUUUUAUUCCGUGGCUAGGCGAGGCCGCCGGCCCUCAUCGGCCGGUCGCCGGUGACCGGCCAAAAGAAGAAAAAAGAAAAAAAAAGAAAAAAAGAAGAAGAAAAUAAAAAAAAAGUGUUUCUAAGUUUUGUUUCAGAAAUAAGAAACACAAAUUUGUUGUUUCUUAUUUCUGUUUCUUUUUUGUUUCUGAGAACAAAAAAACAGAAAAAGUGUUCAAAAACAAAAAAAAGAAAUACAAACAAACAGGCCCUUAUUAACUCUUUUUUGAACUUAUCUCGUGGGAUCAGACUGGUUUUCAUUAUAAUGGCAACAAGAGCAUGUGCGAGUGCGUGAUGCCCGGGUGUAUCUUGGCCAUUUAUGGGAAUGGAAGUCAAAAUUAGGUCACUUGCAUGAAAAAGCUGGAGUUGCUUCUAUAGUUGGCUAGUGAAAGCGCACACAAUGGAAAAGUCUAUCAAGUAAUUAACCCUGAUUAGUCUGUACAGCACAGCAAUUGGAGUUAGACGUAUCGUCGGUCUUUAAUUUUCCACAUGCAUCGUAAUGGGGGCACGGAUAAGGAGCUCACCUAGUGGAGAGGGGUGCGCAGGCUAAAUUCGGAGCAUUAAACUAAACAUUCUUCGGUGGGUCAUUUAUAGUUUGCCGAUGCUAGACGCCCUUUCUUUUUUGGUGUAAAAUGAAAGAAAAAGUAAAACUUAUUAGAAACAAUGAUUAUCAAGUUGGAAUGUAAAAAACAUGUUCAAUGUUUUGUAACAGUGAUUUAAUAUUUACUUCUUUUUGUUACUAAUUUACUAAUAACUUGGCAUCUCUUCUUUCGUUAAAAAGGAUUGUGAUAGUUGCGGACGGUGAAUUUUGCAUUACAUAGAUUUUUUUUGUUUUUCUCACAUGCAUCCUUUGUGUCUAUGUAGUAUUAGACUUGUCAAAAUGGUUCAUUAACUCAUUUUUUGUAACUCACAUUUGAUGGGUUCAGUAGUUGUAUUGGGUUAGUUAUUUCAAUAAAUGAGUUAAAAAUGGUACAACCCAAAAUAAUAUGGAUGUUAAAUGGGUUCAUAAAUUACUUAGACCAACCCACAUUUAUGGCUCUAUCUUCACUUUCUUUGAUCUCUACUUAAUCUUGCACUCGGUCACUCCAUGUUCUCACCUCAAUUUAAUUAUGAGUUCUACUGAAUUUUUAACAAUAUGGAUCGGGUCAUGUAUGGGGACCGAUCGGGUUGGAUAUGUGUUGCUAGAUUUGUAUUCUAUAUAAAAAGGGUCAAUUUGGGUUGAACUAUUUUUGAAUUGAUCCAAACCUGACCUAAUCCACUUGCUUGGUAAAAGUCCAUCGCAUGAUCUUGAGAGAUUCAUUAUUCCUCACCCAGUUGCCUUCGGCAUUCAUUAGCAUGGUAAUACGGUUCCUAUUUCUCCGUUGUAUAGUGGUGGCAUGAAAUUUUUUUGUAUUCCUGUCUCCCCAUUUGAGACACUUAAUUCUCGAUCUUAUACCCAAAAACAUUUAUUCUUGUCGCCAUAGGGAUUCGAUUUCUUUGUGGAUAUUUUGAAUCCUGUAAUGAUCAUACUGCAAGGUGGGGUUGUUCAUCCGAAACUGAAACUCAUUUUUCAGCCCUUUGAUUUUCUUAUAUGAGUUGGGGAAUCGUUUUUUACUCCACGCCGCUAGUUUAGUAGCCAUAGUUUUCAAUUUUUCAACCAAAUUUUUCAGAUAGGAAUCCUCCCAUGUUUGCUUGACUAUUCUCCUACGAUCUUCGUCUUCCGCCAAAAAUGGCUCAUAUUUGAACUCUCGGUGUUUAUGUGUUGUAGUGGGUAUAGUUGACAAGAUGAGCGGACUAUGAUCAUAGCUAAUAGCUGGUAAGGCUAUAACUUCAGCAUUUGGAUAAUCUAUUCUCCAUUCCAUGGCUUCGGCGGACUUUGAACGGCAAGAAAAGAAGACCUGCAAAUAUUUUCUUUUUAUACGUGUGCCCUAAAGGUCAAAUUUGACCUGUGGCCCACCUCAAAUUAGCUUCACGUGGGAGAGAGAUGCUGCUUCUUUCUUCGACGUGGAGUCUGUGUGCGCGCGCGCCCAGAGUCAACACUUUGACUCAGGCCCUCAGAUUCCUUUUUAAACUCUAUGUGCAGACUCCUUAUUUCCUUUAAUAUAUAUAUAAAGUGUGCACAAAGUCUUGUUUGCACAUCCGAAAUGGAGAAUCCAAGAAGGAAAUUGUUUCUUCCUUUUUCAUCCGAUUUAUAAUCCACUUGGAAAAAACUUUAUUGAUAAAUUCGGUUUAAUAAAACGUUAUCCGAAUCCAAACUCGAGAUAUUAAUUUAACACACCCCAAAUCAAGUCGUUGCACGUGUCGAUGUAGUCUCGAGUUCGACCCGCUUUGUGUCGAGGUUACGGAAUCCACAUUUUGGCGAAACCUCUAAAGAAUUUGAAAAAAAAAUGCGAGUUAGCUCAAACGUCCCCCAAAAGCUUAGGUCAUGCGUGUGAUCUGCGAGAUUGCUAUCUUUUUUUUUUUUUUUUUACUUUUUUGUGGGGCGAAUCGGAUGUAUUCAUAUUCAAUCUGGUAGUUCGAUUUUCUUGCACUGACAAAAGAAGAUGCUUUGGUACAAUGCCUACUCGUGGGAGACGCCAAGGAAGCGAUCGAUUCUGGGGCUCAGCAUUAGAUUAUUGCUACCAUCAAUUUUUCAUGGUACCUAAAGUCAAAUUGAUUGAAAAAAUAUUUAAUUUAACUUAAUCUAUGUAUAGUACAUAAAUGGCCCCCACCCAAAAAAAAAUAAAAUCUAUUGUACAGUUCUGUAGCUGUCCUAAUGAGAUACCUUGCACUUGGUAUUAUCUAUUUUGAUUACCGACUAAAUUGCGCCUUUGUUGGUCAAAGUUGUUAUAUAAAAUAUGUUUAUUCAAAUCAUAUGGGGCUAAUUCGAUUGGUUAGAAUGUUUUGUUGCCCGAAAAUUAAAUUAGAAUGUUUGCAAGGAAUUCCUUUCUUUAUUGUUUCGUGUACGCUAUAUUAAUUGAUUUGAUUGGUGUGCGAACUAAAUUAGUAGAGGGUCACGAAUCACGUGGUCAACAAAUAGCAUGCACGUGUGCAUCGUUUAUUGAUCCUUAUUUGUGGAGAAAUUCGACAUGACUUGUCUAACUUAUAUACGUUACGUUUAAUCAUAAACUAAACAUAAUUCAUUGUUUUUUUUUUGUCAUUGUGACUCUAGAAAAAAAAAUACCUACCCUUAAAUUUUAAAAUAGAUUUAGCUGUGAUGUUUUUAUCUUUCUUUUAUAGAUUUGAUUAGAUUUUUUUCUCAUACAUAUACAUAUAUACUUGUGUAUGUGGAUAAAAAAGACAAGACGAGAGAUAUAACUCUUGCAUUGAAACUUGGAAACAUUUCAAAAAAAGACCUGAAGUGCCAUUAUUUUCUCAAAUAAGAACCCGAAGUGAAUAUUAUUUCACAUAAUGACUUGAAGUGACAUUAGUUGUUUCAAAUAAGGGCAUCAUCUUGCCGGUUGCCAACCAACUAAGUUUUCCGAACGGUGAAAGGUAAUUUCGUCAUUUUUCACUUUCUCCUUUUUUUUUUUCUUUUUUUUUUCUUCUAGUUCUUCUUCUUCUUUUUCUUCCUCUUCACCAGCAGCUAGCUAGCCAUUGGUGAUGCCCACAAAGGGUUGGGCGAACGUUGCCCUCGCUGGCAAAGGCCAUCCAUGCCGGCCACAGGCAAGGGACAGCUUUGCUUGGGUGAGGCGACCCUCGCCCUAGGGCCAUCUGCAAGGUCGGCCCUUGGCGGCCCCAAGCGAGACCAACCCUCGCUAGAUCUGUGAGGGUGGCCUCACCCGUGGUCGGUGAGGGUUGGGCAACUUCGCUAGCUGGUGGUAAGGGCCAACGAGGACCUGCAAGCUCUCACCUGGGGUAAGUGAGGCUAAUCCUUUCUAGACCAGCGGUCGACGAGGACCUACAAGCCCUUGUUGGUGGUAGGUGAAGCCAUCCUCACGAGAUCUGGUGAGGGUUGACCUCGCCUGCCCUAGGCGAGGGCACGACCACCCUCGCUAGUGGGCGACGAACGAUGAGGUUGCCUAGCCCUCGCCUAUUGCGGGCGAGGCCACCUUUGCCAGAUCUGGAGAGGGUUGGCCUCACUUGGGGCUACCAAGGGCUAACCUCGUAGAUGGCCCUAGGGUGAGGGUCACCUUGCCCAAGGGAGGCCGUCCCUCACUUGUAGCCGGUGUGGGUUGUCCUUGCUAGCGAGGACGACCCUUGCCCAACCCUCUGUGGGCAUCGCCAGUGGGUGGCCGAUUGGCUAGUGGCAAAGGGGGUGAAGAAGAACAAAAAUUAAAAAGGAAAUAAAAAAAGGAAAAUAGCAAAUAACGAAAAUGCUCCUCAUUGCCGAAAAUUCAAGUGCUUAUUUGAAAUGGACAUAGUUACUUCAUGCCCUUAUUUAAAAUAGACAUAAUCGUUUUAGGUCCUCAUUUGAUACAAGAUCCACUCCAGGCACUUAUUUAAGAAAGUGAUGACACUUCAUGUCCUUAUUUAAAAUAAGGUCCAUUUCGGGCACUUAUUUAAGAAAAUGAGAACACUUGGAGUCCAUUUUUGAGAUUUUCCCUUAAAACUUUGAUUUGUUGAAAAGUUCAUUAUGAUAUUAGAUAAUGAAAUCUUCCUUUACCUUACAAUUAUAUUUUCUCGCCCUUCAACCCCGGUCAGAUCCCAAUCUAACCAUUUGAUCAAGGCAUCGUAUAAUAUCUAAAUCUUACCCAAAAAAAAAAAGAAGAAGAGAAAAAGGAAUCAUAAUGGAUCCAUUAAAUACAUGAGAUUGGCUGUGCAUGUGCUAGAGAUUGUGUGCAUGCAUGUAUUUAGGAAAAGAAAAAGAAGAAGAAAUAAUUACAUAGAUGAGAGGAACACAUGGAAUAGAUGAUUUGGCAUUCUAUCCCUCUUCCUAAAAAAGUAAGUUAAAUGUAAGAAUUUUGCGAGAGGUCGCUCGAUGUAUGAUAUCACGUUAUGUGAUCAACGAAUUGUCUAAUCGGCUAUCGUUCAAAUGGAUACAUCUGGACAGAAGAGACAACUCGAGACGGAAGAUAAGAUGACCUUUUACCAAAGGUGAGCAUUGGUAUCAUUUGUCAAGCUUUCAAGCCUUUUGUCAUAUCGGAUAAUCUCGACGUGUCAAGAACGAAAGUAAUUGAGGCAAGAUAGCCCGAGGAUUAAGGCAACGCCCCUAGAUUCAAAGCAAGCCGCGUGCAAAUCACUUCAUUAAUCCCUUAAUCAUCACCAAAUCUUCGCGGGUCGUCUUCCCUAAAUGGGUCUUGGAUAACCAUCGUUGAAUCAGCGCGUAAAUGAACGCACCACCUCCACAAGAUUUGGUCUAUCAAUUCAACCAAAACCAACUCAAUUUCUCUCCUCAUUUAAGAAAAGAAGAAGGUAAAAAAUCUAUAAAAAAAAAGUAUUAUUUAACGAGUGCCUAAGAUACUAAUCAUUCAAUUAGAUGAGAAAACUUAGGUUUUCAAAAUUAUAAGGCUACGUUUGGUCGUCUAAGAAUUUUAUCAAGAUAGGACUUGAUAGAAUACAAUAUAAUUUAGGGAUUUUGCUAUAUUUUAUCUACUGUUUAGUGAGUUGCAGUAAUAAAUCCAGAUAUUUUUAUAUCAUAUUUUGUCCAUUGUUUGAUAUGAGCAACAUAUCGAUAUAAAUGAAUUUGAAAAUGUACAAAUGAAAAUAGUAAGAAUUUCUCAUGAGUCACUACUAAAGAAAUCACAAGUGCAAAAACGGAGAUGACCUUUAUCAAUCAAUUCAUAAUUACUGUAUCAUCUACAUUAUGAUCUACAUCUUAAACAAAGAAAAGAGCUCAUUGCAGCAUUCUAGAGCCACAUGUUUAACAGUGACAAGAAAUGUAAAUGGACUACAACAACAUUGAGAAUGCAAGUUUUUAGGUGCCGAGAAUUACUUUUUGUAUAGUUCUGUUGGUUAAAAGUCAAUAUACAUCUCAUCUUACCCAAAAAAAAAAAAAACUAAACCUGGUAUAUGAUAUAUCCUAUCCCAACUACCAAAUGUAGGCUAUUUUCUUUUGCUUAUAGAUAAAAUAUUUCCUAUUGAGUAUACAUGAAAAUACGUCGUUGAGAUCGAGGGAAAGGAAAAUAGGAGAAAGGAAAGAAAUUCCAGGUCUCCCAUAAAGAAGGGAAGCUUCUCGGUGAUGCCGUAGCGUCGGACUUUUCCUUAUAAAUACCCUCCAUCGCAACGCAUACGCUUCUUCAUUCUUUUCACAUACCCGUCCUUCUUUUCCUUUCAUCCGAUCAGCUUCGCAACAAAGGUUUCAAUCAAUUCUCCGGAAUGGAUAAGCUGUUUCAUGGGAUGCUGCACGCCUUCGGCCGUGGUGACAAGGCAGGCCACCGGCGCAAGGCGGGCAGGUCCAAGAAGGUCAAGGGGACCGUGGUGCUGAUGAAGAAGUACGUCUUGGACUUCAACGACUUCAACGCGUCGGUCCUUGACAACGUCGACGAGCUGCUGGGUAAGAAGGUCUCUCUGCGACUCGUGAGCGUCGUCCACGGUGAUCCCGGUGAGUCAUGACCCUCCUCCACGCUAUCUUCUUGUCGUUCAUUUCUGGAACAAGUUCUUUCAAUGGCUUUUCUUGGUACUAGACUGUGCUGUACAUUUCUGUUGACAAAAUCUGAUGAAUGGCAACAAAUUAAACUGGUUGUCAUCAUGACAAGCGAUCUUCUUCCCCAAAAAGAAUAGGAAAUAAUAAGUAUUUCACAUAACUUGCAUGUCUCAACUUUUUGCUUAGAUUUCAAGAAAGUGUAACAUAUGCAUCUUCGCUUUACUUGCAGUGUGUUAUUGACAAGAGUAUGGUAGUGCAAUUUGUGUUUUAAGCUUUUUGGUUCUGUUGCACGGUACUCUUGCGUUGGAUUCAAGAUUCGGAAAUUGGCCGUGCAUGCGAUACAGUCAACCUGAUCUAUCGCAGUCCCUACUGAAUUUAUCUUCUGAAGUUUGAUCUUUUCUGUGCAACUUUAGAGAACAUGUGUAAUCUUGAUGGACUUAGAAAAAAAUUGCAUAUAUUUUUUCCUAAAUUAUGAUAGGUCAAACUUAGUUACCGCAUGUUUGUUGAUAGGACGACUCUAUUAUGCACACGUUUAUAGACAUAGAUAAACAGUAUGUACCCACAUAUUUUUCGACAAUUUUUCAAAUUUAAAUAGAUGGAUCAUAGUAAGUUUAGAGUAUCAUUAAAUCUUGCAGUUUCACGACCUCCCCGGUGGAGGCCAAAGUUCGAAUCCCCUGCAAAGCAGGGAGGCAGUCUUAGCUACUACAUGGUGACUUAAGCGUGACGUCGGGGUGGUGGUUUCCCCGCUAGCGUCGCCGGGAGGUUUACGGCACACUGCCGGUGCAAGCUGGUUCCUCCUGUUCAAAAAAAAAAUAAAAAAAAUAGAUGGAUCAUAGUAAGCUUAAUCAUUAAAUCUUGCAGUUUCACGUGACAGAAAUUUGAGUACAUUUCGGUGUUUGCACUAUAAUUAGGAUUCUCUUAUAAAUGAGAGGCUUUCUAAACCAAACUUAUAAUUUAAAGGAAAAAAUUAUNNNNNNNNNNNNNNNNNNNNNNNNNNNNNNNNNNNNNNNNNNNNNNNNNNNNNNNNNNNNNNNNNNNNNNNNNNNNNNNNNNNNNNNNNNNNNNNNNNNNUUUUUUUAAGUUUUUUAAGUUUUUUAAAUAUUAUUUUUUAAAAUAUUUUAACUAAAUUUAAUUUUUAAUUUAAUUUAAUUUAAUUAUUUAUUUAUUUUGUUCCACGUCAGCCAAAACGACGCCGUUUUGGCCACGUCAACGUGCAAAACGGCGCCGUUUUGGCCGCGCUUCGCCGGAAAAAAGCCACGUUGGUGUUUUGGCCGGAUUUUGGCUGGAUUGGCACUCAAGUGAUCUUUUUUACUCCGAUUUUGGCACUUAAGUGUACCUUUCAUAAGUUAUGGCACUUAAGUGUCCCUUUGGGCAAAGUUAAGGUACUUGAGGGGUCCGCACGUCAUAUAGCAGCAUUUGUAAGCUCGAGUAAAUAUGUAUUUUUUUUUUCAUGUUUUGGUAGAAGCAAAUGAAAUUAAGGUUUCGUUUAUUUCGCAAAAAUGAUUAUAUUUUUCGGUAUUUGGUUGAAACUUAAAAAUGUGCUAGAAAAUAUUUUCUACAGUUUGGUAUGGAUUACACUCUUUUUAAUGAUAUUUUCUUUCUCUUUGUUUUUUAUUUUCUUUUGUGAAAAAUAAAAUUUUAAUUAUUUUUAUUUUAUUCUUUUUCCUUCUUCUUUGGCCAAUUGCUGGCCACGACAAUUGGCCUUAGUCGAACUCAAGCCUUGCCACAUUCUGACGAGUUCAAGUCUUGCUAGAUCGACAAGGAUUGAGGUUGGUCUUGCUAUAUUGCUCGUGGCCCUCCAGCGAGCUUGUUACUCACUUGUGAUCGAUUGUUGGCCAUCGUCAUGGCCAGCUGAGGAAGAAGCAAUAAGAAAAGGAAAGAAAAGAACAAAGAAAUAAAAAGUCAAAAUUUUUAAAAAUAAAAAAAGUUAGAUAUUCAAAUUUUUAAAAAUUAAAAUAAAUUAAAAUUCAAUUAUAGAAAAAAAAUAUUUUUAUAAGAACGAACGUUUCAUUAAUCAAGAACCCAAGCUUGAACGCCAACAACUCAUGCACGGCCUUUGUGGAGCCAAGCUUGAGUGGUAGGGACUAGAGCUCAAGCGUCGAGGGCCGAGAAUGAUCAUUAUGGAUGUAGGGUCAAGUGCCGGGGAACAAGGGGUUUGGGCUCGAGUGCUAGGGGCCUGGGCCUAGAAACGAGGUCUUGAGCCUAGCCUCAAUGGACAUUGGUUCAGUCUCGUGCUCAAGCAUUAGAGACCUGGUCCUUGCCUUGAUGGACACAGGCUCGGCAUUGAUGGACCUAGCUUGGGUAUUGGAGACUUGGGAACUAGAAAUGCUAUAUAUUUUUUGCGAAACAAAUAGGGUAUUUUAAACAAUCAAUCAAAGGUUUCCUCUAGUCAAUAGCCCAAUCUCAAGUUCUUUCUAAGUUUUUUUUUUGAAAGAAAAUUAUAUUUAUUACCCAAAAUGAUAGAGAAGUACAUAGCUUUCAUGAUAAAGUAAAGCGAAAGAUAGCAUGAAUCUUAAAAACAAAGCCAAAUCUAGAAAAAUAAGGAGGAUCAACGAAGCACCAGCAAAAAUCAAGCACAAACUUGUUCCACAAAAACGGAUUUGUCAAACAAAAUUGGUGUCGCAAAUUUCUUUUCCAUUAAUUACAAUGUUGCUAAUUGGAGGUGUGUGCCUAGGUUUUGCUUCCUCUACACCAUCAUCAUAUGGAAACAACUAGAACAGGUUAAACAAACACAGGUAUAAUACGUGGAGGAGCAAAUUUUCGUAAUUCAACGAGACACGAAAACUGCUGCAUUCGUCAUUAAGGUUGGAGACAAAGAACCUAUACAAGAAUAUAGCAAAGAGGCAUAUGAUCCCCGAAGGCAUAUUUAUUAAGCUCCCAGACCUAGAUCGGGAGAGGAUAUCAUCCAAAGCUCAAGUUCUCUAUCUUCUUUUUUCUUUUUAAUUGUUUCUAACUAAACGAAUUUCCUAUUAUUGACCGAACACAUUUCUUGAAUUUAAAGUUUUUUUUUCUUGCAUGACUAUGUUUCUUGACUACAUAACGGAUUGGGGGUGUGCAUGGUCCGGGCAGGUGGUUCCUAACCUAGAACCAAGGACCGCCUGCUAAGAACUGGUUUCGAAAAAUUGGAACUGGGAACCGCCCGCUAGUUGCAUGGAUCCACCCGGGAACUGGAUUGUCAAUCUGGUUCGGUUUCCGGGUGGAUCCAUAGAACCGGUCAAACCUUCGCGCCUUCCUCUUUUCGUCCUCCCCACAUCUGCUUAUUUUGGCUCUCCCGACCAUGGUAGCUUUAUUUUCCUCAAGUACUAGCGCUGCGGUAGUGUUCAUGACGGUGGUGGUCGUGACCUUCGCUCCGCUUCUGUCCCGGCCUCCACCACCAUCUUCACCACCGCCUCUGCCAUCUUUAACUCCUCCUUCAAGACCGACAAUGAGGAGGAUAAUAGGGACGAUGAGCCGUUCUUAGACCUAAAGUUCACCCGUCCCCGAAGAUGAGGAUGAUGGGGAGAAACUUGAGGAGGGGGAGGAGGAAGAGGGGAGGUAGAAUCGGGACGAGCCCAACAACGAAGAGGACGAUAGUGACAGUGAAUGCAGAGGUAGCAAUGAUGUGGAGAGAGAGUUCAAGUUUAAGGGAGGAAAAGAGAAUCAACUCACUAUUUCGCUGAGUUCAGACUAGGACUUGAAGGGAGAUGAAAAGAUCCAGAGGUGAAUCGGAGAGAAAGAGGGAGCUUGGGGAGAUUUUGAACUAAGAGAGACGAUAUGAAGUAGGAGAGUGGUAAAUUGAGACAAGAUGGUGAUUAGAGCCCAAAAUUUUAAAUUUGCUAAUUUCGAAUUUUUUUAAUAUUGAAAUUUAAUAUAUUAUUAUAAUAAUAUAACUGGUUUGGUCCGGAUGGACAGGUGGACGGAUCCGCCCAUGGAAUCCGGAACCAGACUGGUAUUCACUGGUUCCCAUAAAUUGGAAUCGGGAACCGGACCGGUUCCCUUAAGAAUCACUUGUUCCAAGCAGUUUCGGUCCGGUUCCAGGCAGUUCGGGUGGGUCCCGGUUAUUUUGCACACCCCAAGUAAUGGAGCUACAACCUCGCUGUGGGUAAAUUUGGCAUUCGUUUAUGGAUGGUUGAAUAAGGGUUUUGAUCGAGAGGUGAGGUUUGCAUUGCCUCAAGCAUGAAUUGAAUAUGAUGGCCAUUGCCAUCAAGGACGAUGCAAGAGUGCUCAGAUACUGUUAAUUCGGAAAAGAGAAUUAGUUGAAAGAGUUCUCUUUCAGAUCGUCUAUGCGAUCCAUAGAAUGGCUCUUCGCCUAGCGUGCACUGCAACGAGAAAAGACAUCAUCGUAAAACACGAAGUGAUUUUCCUCACGUCAUGUCCUAGGACCACACGACCCAAUUAACCAAUGGUGCAUGGCAUUAGCAAUUAUUGUAGUUAAUUUCUGGUUAUUGGCCAAUAAUAUAAUUAUAUAAGCUGUCAUUUGUCACUUAUUAUUGGAAAUUUGUGCCGCAUUCCGCAAGGAUGUGCUUUCUAAAAUCACUUCAUUGAGCACAAGUUCGGGUCCUAGUCCUUUCCUUUUGGUUUUCAGCACAAGAUCAGGUUCUUGUUUGUUGAAACGGAUCCAUUCUUGCGACAGCAAAAAGAUUAUGGAUAACAUAAUAUCAGUGGGAAUGAACUAAAAAUUGGAAACAAAAUGCAAAUGACUCUGCGCAGAUCAUUGAUCAGAUCGAGACCCUUUGCCAUGUUAAAGAUGAACGUCAGUCUCAUUCGCUGGGACACAAAGUUCGAAAGCUUUGAAACCUUUAAUUUCUUUUUCGUGCUUUGCAGAAAACUGUUUGCGGGGGAAAUUGGGAAAGCCUGCACAUCUGGAAGGAUGGAUCACUACCAUCACUCCCUUAACGACAGGGGACUCGGCGUUCAAGGUCACUUUCAAUUGGGACAAGGAGGUGGGAGUUCCAGGGGCGAUCAUCGUACAAAAUAACCAUCACAGUCAGUUUUACCUCAAGACGAUCACACUCGAAGAUGUGCCCGGUGAGGGCCGAGUCCACUUCGUCUGCAACUCGUGGGUCUACCCUGCCAACCAGUACAAGAAGGACCGGGUCUUCUUCUCUAACAAGGUUCGAUCACAAUAAUUUUAUUGAUGGAGCUAAGCUAUAGCCGCCAUGUAUGAUUUGCUUCCAGAGUCUCAUUAGGACAAAAUAAAAGACAUUGCCUCCGAUAUGAAGACUUAAAUCUUGUUCUACAUAGAGUUGUCCUAAAGGAUUAGCCGAUUGGUCAGAAAGGAGUGACUUUUCAAGCGGUCCUAGCUUCCCGAAAACAUAAUUUGGGUAGCAGAAUCUCACUCCUAGGAAUUUUCCAGGUUGCACUCUACUUUUAACCAGUUUCAGCAUCUGAGCUUUCCGAUUUCGCCGAAGUGCGGCAUUUCACUUAGGAAUUGCACUUAAUAUUGGCUGAACGCAUUCAGUUUCGGACUCUGUUCUAUUCUGUCACAUGAAAUAGCAAUUUGAUUGGACGGUGUUCCUUAGGUUGUCUAAUAAGAUAGCACGUUUUUGCAGACGUAUCUUCCAAGCCAAACUCCAGCGCCUCUAGUGAAGUACCGAGAGGAAGAGUUAGUUAACUUGAGAGGAGACGGAACGGGAGAGCUUCAGGAGUGGGACAGGGUGUACGACUAUGCUUACUACAAUGAUUUGGGUGAUCCAGACAAGGGCUCGAAGUAUGCCCGCCCUGUACUAGGAGGAUCUUCUGAAUAUCCCUAUCCUCGCAGAGGAAGGACCGGUCGACCUCCGACUGAGACAGGUUAGAUAAUGCACUCAUAUCACGAAUCUCCAAUUUGAUGUGAGAUUAUUAUGGCUUCUUUUUUUUUUAUUUUUGACAAAGAUGCUUCAUUUGUAAGUAUAUUUUACUGAAUUUUCAUGAUGUUAUCGACAGAUCCAAAUACUGAGAGCAGGCUGCCUCUGCUCAUGAGCCUAAACACAUACGUUCCAAGGGACGAACGGUUUGGUCACUUAAAGAUGUCUGACUUCCUUGCUUAUGCUCUAAAAGCCGUGGGUCAAUUUCUGAAGCCCGAGCUAGAGAGUAUAUUCGACAGCACGCCCAAUGAGUUUGACUCCUUCCAGGAUGUGCUCAAUCUCUAUGAGGGCGGUAUUAAGCUUCCCAAUUGCCCUUUGCUGGAGAGUCUGAAGGAGAACAUUCCCCUCGAGAUGCUUAAGAUACUCUUUCGGACAGAUGGGGAAGGGCUUCUCGAGUACCCCAUGCCUCAGGUGAUCAAAGGUAAUGGAUACAUAUAUGUAUGGGACCUUUUUCAUCUGAUUAGUUCGAGGCUGUUUUCCUAACGUUUAGCAAUCAUCCUGUGCAGAGGAUAAGAUUGCCUGGAGGACCGAUGUAGAAUUCGGUAGAGAAAUGCUCGCUGGAGUCAACCCUGUCGUGAUUCGCUGUCUCCAGGUAAAUAACAAUAUCUUUCACGUUACAGCUCGAACAAAUUCAGUUAAUAUUAAAAUGAGGUGCGGAAUGGAGUUCCACCAAUUGUCUAGUUGAUUGAACAUUUUUUGUUGAUUUCAGGAAUUCCCUCCGGCAAGCAAGCUAGACCCUAAUAUAUAUGGCAACCAGAGCAGUUCAAUAAGGGAAGAGCUCAUUCAGGAGCAACUGAAUGGAUUAACUGUCCAACAGGUACCUUUCAUUGCAUCUCACAUCACUAAGAGCGUCCAUAUACUUGCUUAUAAGAUGAUGGCGAUUUCAUUUAAGUUAUAAUAUCCAAAUUGAAACGAUGCAUAACAAAUGCAGGCUAUCAAGAUGAACAAAUUAUUCAUACUGGAUCACCAUGAUUCGAUCAUGCCAUAUCUGAGGCGGAUAAACACAACUACCACUAAAACGUAUGCUACUCGAACACUCCUCUUCUUGAAGGAUGAUGGUACCUUGAAGCCGCUGGCAAUAGAGCUUAGCAUGCCGCAUCCUGAGGGAGACGAGUUUGGUGCGAUGAGCAAGGUGUACACGCCGGCCGAUCAAGGCGUCGAAGGUUCCAUCUGGCAACUGGCUAAAGCUUAUGUGGCAGUUAAUGACGCAGGCUAUCACCAACUCAGCAGCCACUGGUAAAGAUCUCAGAGGAGCAUUCACCUAUAUAAAGAAGGGAAAUUUUUAUUUAUUUAUUUCCUGCAUAUUGAUAAUUUUCUUUAUUCUUACCACAGGUUGAAUACUCACGCGGCGAUUGAACCAUUUGUGAUUGCAACAAAUAGACAAUUGAGUGUGCUUCACCCCAUCUACAAACUUUUGCAUCCCCAUUUCCGUGACACGAUGGAGAUAAAUGCAAUCGCCAGGCAGAUUGUGAUCAAUGCGGGUGGAAUCCUGGAGACGACUGUAUUCCCAGCGAAGUACUCCAUGGAGAUGUCUUCCGCCAUCUACAAGAACUGGAUUUUCCCCGAGCAAGCGCUUCCUGCUGACCUCAUCAAGCGGUAAAUUCACUGUUCUAUACAUAUAAAUCAUCCAUAGGACUUCUAUUUAAAAUUGCUUCAAAAAGAAAGAAAAAUCAAGGCCUAUGAAGAUUGCACAAAUGUACUUGGAAUAGCCAAGGCUCGUGCUGAGAUACAUAUCAACAUAGCUAUCCUUUGUUUUACUUGAAUUAUUCUGAUAGACUGAGUGUGACGAAAAUAUUCUACCUUUUCUUGUCUUCAGGGGAGUUGCUGUGGAAGAUGCGAACUCCCCGCAUGGCCUCCACCUAUUGAUUAAGGACUACCCCUACGCGGUAGAUGGGCUCGAGAUCUGGUCCGCGAUCAAGACGUGGGUUGAGGACUACUGCUCCUUUUAUUACAAGAGUGACGAGACGGUACAGAAGGAUGAGGAACUCCAAUCCUGGUGGAGGGAACUCGUGGAGGAGGGACACGGCGACAAGAAGGGUGAGCCCUGGUGGCCUAAAAUGCAGACUGUGAAGGACCUAACAGAGACAUGUACGAUCACCAUCUGGAUCGCGUCUGCUCUCCAUGCGGCUGUGAACUUUGGGCAAUACCCUUAUGCAGGGUAC
Molecule: long non-coding RNA, 41265 nt
Filed under: Eucalyptus grandis
Lineage: Eukaryota; Viridiplantae; Streptophyta; Magnoliopsida; Myrtales; Myrtaceae
Description: long non-coding RNA (EGRA_LNC005280)
Source: RNAcentral